AAAUUGUUUGUCCUUUGGGAUGCUUUGUCAGUAAACAAGCACUCCUUUUAUCACUCGAUUCAUUACAUAACAUAUCGAUUAAAUAAUGGAAAAUGUAAUUAUCUGGAAUUUUUUCUGUACUGUAUACCUACUACGUAUUUAGUAUAUCAAGUUGCAAUUUAUAAAUUGCCGUGGUAAUUUAUGAUCGAUCUAGCGGCAUAAUACAGUAAGCAGCGGGCAAAAUACCUAUCAAAAGAAGUGUAGGUACCUAUAAUGUGAUAUAUUUUGCACUCUUCACAGCGUGUUCGGUUUUUUCUCAACAAAAUCGGUGCAUACAUAACGAUUCAACUAUGCGUGUAUACGACUGACCGACACCAUUUGUCGUAGAGACUUUUCCUAACAUGGUAUGGAGAUGUAGCACGUAGCCACAGUAAAGUUAAAUCAAUCGUUAGCGUUACCUGCUUGAGUAAUCCUUUUGUUAAUAAAAUGCGUAGUGGGUUUUUCGGGAGAACAUAUCAAUCCGGAGAAACCAAUUCCAUCGAAAUAAUCGACGCAAAAUUCGUCGUGCGAAAACCUCUGAUUCCAGUGGUGCAAAUGCAAGCUGCCAUCUUUUUCGAGUGCGAAAUCGUCGUCUGGAUAUUUCGACUUAUUAAAUAGAAUUUAAUGCUCUACAUUAUUGAUUGGAAAGUAAAGAGGUGGACAGAUCAAGGGAAAGCAGAUGUGAACGAGGGAGAGAGUAGAGGAAUGGAUGAGGAUACUUUUAGAAAAAGGGGAAAACAACAAUUUUUUUUAUUGUAGAACGGUUGUUUCAGACACAGCUAUAUGCAAUGUAUAACCGAUUAUUAUGUAACUAAAUGUAUGCAGAGGAAACGAGAAAGGCAUUUUAUAAUCUACAUAAUAUUAUUUGACCAAAUUUGUCCCUAACACAUACCUAUACCCAAUUAAAAAAUGCGAAAAUAAUUUCUUGCAACUCCGAUUUAUAAAAAAAUUGGAGACGGUUGCAUCUUGGUGUAUUUUCGAUAAAUGCAAAAUUUUGCGCGCGAAUCCUGCCAAUUACCGAAGUUGUGUCAAUCAAGUCAGACUUGUUAAAAGUUAUUAACUCGGUCGCGGUUGGUCAUUGUUAAUCAAUUUAAAUUCGGUCAAGAUAGAUAGCAUAGUAAUAAAAUUAUUGUGGUCAGUUAUAAUAAACCUAUAUUUGAGGUGUUGCAAAUUUUUUAUGAAUGAUGCUCGUAAUAUUGCAAUUUAUUAUCGUUGGAGUUUUGGUAUUUAUAUAUCAAACUAUUUAAAAACAUACAUAGGUCGUAGGUAUUUAAAAGACAAUGUUCAACAUCACUGUUGAAUCUCAUAUUCAAUCGUAAUAGCAAGCAUUGAAUUUAUAACUAUCAAUUCAAUGGUAAUAGCAUAGCUUACCAAAUGAAUACACUGGAUCUGCUAAUUUCCUCUCCUCGUGGAAACAAACAAGCCCCGUUAAAUUUCUAUCCAUCACAUCAUCAAUAAACACUUCCAAGCAAUAUCGGUCGGGAGUUAGAGUUUCGCCGUUGCUGUCGUUUAGGUUUGCUGUACGAGCCUGUAAUAUCCUCUCUCUCCACAAAUUUCUCCCAUUAUAAGGUAAUAAUUAUCGACUCCGACUGUCGUCCGCCGAUCCCCAUUAUAGACAUUGAAGUAAAAGUAUUCGCUGGUAUUAUUUAAUGGUUGGCACGUCUCAUUGAUCAUCGCAUAUCCGAGACCGCAGCAUUUGCGAAUACACGAGCGGACUUGGCAAACGCACCCUCUUUGCGCCCCAAGAUAUCGAAAUUGCACUUCAGGCGGAAACGUGAUGCCGUCGUAGACGAUUGAGCCGUCCUUAUUAAAUGAAAAAAACCGCCACCCAUAGGAGUGCUGGAAUCAUCUUGCUUGCUAACGGUUUCACUAAUUACACUCACUAUGGUCCUGCAUCAUAAUUAUAUAAACACACUCUGAUGUGGUUAAUAACGAAC
Photinus pyralis (common eastern firefly) is the source of this 1955-nucleotide long non-coding RNA. RefSeq lists it as uncharacterized. NCBI's taxonomy places the organism in Eukaryota, Metazoa, Arthropoda, Insecta, Coleoptera, Lampyridae. The transcript is spliced from 5 exons. The record is from RefSeq and is a predicted model, not a curated record.